Molecule: ribosomal RNA, 394 nt
Filed under: Adriamonas peritocrescens
Lineage: Eukaryota; Bigyra; Bicosoecida; Siluaniidae
Description: partial small subunit ribosomal RNA
Rfam family: Eukaryotic small subunit ribosomal RNA
Source: RNAcentral
GCUUGUCUCAAAGAUUAAGCCAUGCAUGUCUAAGUAUAAGCACUUAUACCGUGAAACUGCGAAUGGCUCAUUACAUCAGUUAUAGUUUAUUUGAUAGUCCCCACUACUUGGAUAACCGUAGUAAUUCUAGAGCUAAUACAUGCGUCAAGUCCCUACCGCGCGAGCGGGAAGGAUGUGUUUAUUAGAUACAACCAACCCUUCGGGUCCCUGGUGAAUCAUAAUAACCGAACGAACCGCAUGCUUCGGCGGCGAUAAAUCAUUCAAGUUUCUGACCUAUCAGCUUCCGACGGUAGGGUAUUGGCCUACCGUGGCAAUGACGGGUAACGGAGAAUUAGGGUUCGAUUCCGGAGAGGGAGCCUGAGAAACGGCUACCACAUCCAAGGAAGGCAGCAGG